AGGGAAUCUUGCACAAUGGGCGAAAGCCUGAUGCAGCGACACCGCGUGGGGGAUGAAGGGCUUCGGCUUGUAAACCCCUUUCAUGAGGGAAGAACACUGACCUAACCUCAGGAAGAAGCACCGGCUAACUCCGUGCCAGCAGCUGCGGUAAUACGGAGAGUGCGAACGUUGUUCGGAUUCACUGGGCGUAAAGGGCACGUAGGCGGCUCGGCAAAUCGGUCGUGGAAUCCCAACGCUUACCGUUGGAACGGCGGCUGAAAAUACCGGGCUAGAGGGCGUGAGGGGUCACUGGAACUCCCGGUGAAGCGGUGAAAUGCGUAGAUAUCGGGAGGAACGCCGGAGGCGAAAGCGAGUGACAGGCGCGUUCCUGACGCUGAGGCGCGAAAGCUAGGGGAGCAAA
This 400-nucleotide ribosomal RNA is filed under the name uncultured bacterium. Its description in RNAcentral is "bacterial SSU rRNA". It matches the Rfam family "Bacterial small subunit ribosomal RNA", at positions 356 to 772 of the family's 1533-position model. The record is from RNAcentral.